AGCGACUGUAACUUCACAUGAGAUCUGAAAACAUUUAUAAAUCUGCAUUAAUUCUUCCAUUAGCUGUAAUGUGUUAACUUCACCGGCGUUUUUAACGUGUUUUGCUGUUGUUCUGUUGGUGUUGCGCUCUCCCGAGUAAGCCAACAAGAAGCUGGUGAACUUUGUCACAAUGCAACGUCUUUUGACGAGAGUCAUAAACAGAGUUUUGCUGAGUGGGCCUUUCACACCAGCGAUGGGCUCUGAAGCAGAGAUACACACACAGGGCCGACGAAGGCUGGUAAGUGUUUCACCAAACAUCAUGAACAUUGUGUCCACUACACUGUAGCUGCACGAAUAGCUGCUCAGCUUUGACUAACAUGGGUUUACUCAAACG
This is a non-coding RNA of Plectropomus leopardus (leopard coralgrouper), 373 nucleotides long. The record is from RefSeq and is a predicted model, not a curated record. NCBI's taxonomy places the organism in Eukaryota, Metazoa, Chordata, Actinopteri, Perciformes, Serranidae.